Molecule: long non-coding RNA, 558 nt
Organism: Gadus morhua (Atlantic cod)
Lineage: Eukaryota; Metazoa; Chordata; Actinopteri; Gadiformes; Gadidae
Exons: 3
Source: RefSeq, a predicted model, not a curated record
UUUCAUAAUAUCAAUCAUAGUCCUGGGAGGUAAGGGUUACAUUAAACUAACAUGUAUCAUGUUACAUUAAACUCUAACAUGUAUCAUGUUACAUUAACCUAACAUAUAUCAUGGUUAAAUUAAACUAACAUGUAUCAUGGUAAUAAACUCUGACAUGUAUCAUAAUUACCUUCAACUAACAUGUAUCAGGGUUCUGCUGAAUCACAUUGACUGCUCUCCUGACAUGUUACUGUAUUGUUUAUCUCAAAAUAGAAUUCAUUGAUCAACUUCUGGAGGUAAGUUUUAUUACUGGUUUGAUACAAAACACAAUACUAUGUGUGACCCUGGCUGGCAGUGGUGGAGUUAUUAGAUGAUGACCUUGUAAUGAACCCAAUGUUGAUAUUUUAUUCACAUUUUUAUUUGAUUGAAGAAGGUAAAAAAGGAACGGAAGAGGGAGUCAGCGGGUGGAGCUGCUGGAGAAGGGACAGCUCGUUACACAUCCACAUCUCACCUCUCUACGGAGCUUCCUGCAGGUCUAGAGACAUCCAUCCCUCCAGCUCCCUCCAGUGAAACACAGCC